This is a non-coding RNA of Schizosaccharomyces pombe (fission yeast), 207 nucleotides long. Lineage: Eukaryota; Fungi; Ascomycota; Schizosaccharomycetes; Schizosaccharomycetales; Schizosaccharomycetaceae. The record is from the annotation of a GenBank genome assembly.
CUGCAGCUCUCUCCAGUUGUCGUUUACGCAUCAUCUCCUGGUGAGUUUUGGAAAGAAACCAUGCUUUUGUAAUAUCGUUUGGAAUGAUAAAAUAAACUGCCACACCACAUACAAAUCCUAUUAAUCCUUCAAUUAUGAAAAGCCAUCUCCAACCAGCGAACCCGCCUACCCCGUCCAUAUGCAAAACUGCAUAUGCGAAUAGACCAC